Chroicocephalus ridibundus (black-headed gull) is the source of this 670-nucleotide long non-coding RNA. RefSeq lists it as uncharacterized. Lineage: Eukaryota; Metazoa; Chordata; Aves; Charadriiformes; Laridae. The record is from RefSeq and is a predicted model, not a curated record. The transcript is spliced from 3 exons.
UCAGCACAUCUUGAGGUGUAAAACUGGAAUAUCAGCACUGGACACUGGAAGGCUUCAUGCAGAAAUAGAAGCAACUAAAGAGGAGAACUCAUCACGCUGCACUUUUAUAUGUCUCGAACCAACUCCAAAUAGGCCUCCAGAAGUAUUCAAUUGUAGCAACAGAGAGAGAGCAGUAGAAUAUGCUGACUUCCAUUUGGAUUCCAGUCAGUGUUAUCAGCUCAGCCAUGAUCUUCCCAGGACGGUGAGUGGGUCGUGGCUUCCCUUGCACUCUGCAUCCCGGCAGGAGAGGUCACAUCAAGUAAGACCUCACAAGGACAACAGAAGCAACAAGUGUCCAGGCUUGAUUGCGUCCAGCAGAGAAGCAGAUGCAGGGCCAAGAGAAAUUCUCCCAAGCGUCUGCCAGCAGCUCAGGACAACAAUAAAACCACUGAAGCGGGGAGGGAGGAGCCUCACAGCUGCUGGGCUGACUCAGUCCAUAAUGAGCAUUCCCUGAACUUUUUAUAAGCUCGUCUGAUCUUCAGCCCAGCUUCGAGAAGUUCCUCGCACAUGUUUUAACCCAGCUAUCCAUUUCUGCCGUGUUUUGGUUCUCUUUUCAUGUGUGCUGUGAAUAUACAAACACAUCUCUCAAGCAGUUUCGCAUCAAGUGAAACUGAGAGAAACACAUAUUAAG